GGGAGAACAUGCGCGGGUCAAGGGCAGAUCGUAUCAGUGGCACACAGCCCAUAGACCAAUCAAAGCAUAGCCAUUGCGGGAAUAAUAUCACAGACGACAAGGAGUUCGUAUGCACCGCAAACGCCCUGAAAAGCCGGAAUAACGUUACAAGAUGCAUUCAGUACAUGGCCGUAACAGAUUUGCCCUGACGCUUGCAGAGCGUGACUCCGGGUUCUUUGGAAAAGAGUGCCAGUACAGCGUAUCCAAAUAGCAUAAUCGGAAGCCUCCUGCUUCGAGGUUCGGCAAUC
Molecule: long non-coding RNA, 287 nt
Organism: Varroa destructor (honeybee mite)
Lineage: Eukaryota; Metazoa; Arthropoda; Arachnida; Mesostigmata; Varroidae
Source: RefSeq, a predicted model, not a curated record